GUGAGGUGUGGCUGAUUUGAUGUUUACUUGUAUUGCAGAGAAGCAAGGCAUUAACUGGAGCUGACACAGGAAAGAUUUGAUGAGGAAGCUUCCUAAGUUCAUAUAUGAUGAGGAUAAAGCUUUGGAGAGGACCCGCCAAGUUCUUACUGACACAGCUGAACUCUGCUAUAGAUGAGGUUUCCGCUCAGCUGCAUCCAGAAGAUGCCCCCAGUGGAAUUGCAGUGGCUUCUGAUGAGAUCCAAGCUUCCAUACAAGAAAAUGUCUGUCGAAAUCUCAAUGCAAGCUUCUAUUUUUACUUGCGAUCAGCAUUAUAGCUCGAAACAUCUUAUUCUCUAUUGGUUUGUUUCUGUGAAAUCUUUUCAGCUCUUUAUUUUUUUUGUGGUUGAAUUUAGUUUGCUUUAAACAAUAUCCAUAAUCAGAUACUCAUUGUCGCUGCA
Long non-coding RNA from Populus trichocarpa (black cottonwood), 437 nucleotides. RefSeq lists it as uncharacterized. The record is from RefSeq and is a predicted model, not a curated record. NCBI's taxonomy places the organism in Eukaryota, Viridiplantae, Streptophyta, Magnoliopsida, Malpighiales, Salicaceae. The transcript has 2 exons.